This 2180-nucleotide long non-coding RNA is filed under the name Homo sapiens (human). RNAcentral's name for it is "STXBP5 antisense RNA 1". Lineage: Eukaryota; Metazoa; Chordata; Mammalia; Primates; Hominidae. The record is from RNAcentral.
GCAUAAUGCAGUAGCCACUGGAUUUGCAGCAGAAACACUCUGCUACAGAACAAGUGUCUUGGUUCACAGCAAAGAGGACAAAGAAAACAGCAAGUUUUAGGGGGUUGAAUCCUGGAUUCCCCUGGCAAACACCAUUCUACUUUCCGUCUCUAUGAAUUUGACUACUCGAAGUACCUCAUGUGAAAUGUUGGUGCCAAAUGAACUUUUCUGGUUCUUCUGAAUAGACCCACAAAAGAAGAGAUACUGAGAUCAUUUGCUCCAGAAGAAGCUGGUUGCCAUGUCUUGAGGACAGUAAACCCUCUGGGGAGGUUCCUGUGGUAAGGAACAAGGGCUCCUGGCAAUAGCCUCUGAGUGAGCCACCUUGAAAAUGGAUUGUCCAGCCCCAGUCAAGCUUUCAGAUGACUGUAGCUCCUGCCAAUGUCUUCACCACAACCUCAUGAGAUCCCAAGCUACAACCACUCAGAACUUCAUCUUUUGGGAAGCACCAGGGAGAGCUGCCUGUGCCUGGCAGAAGCUGCCCAUGCCCCACUGAUACCCCACAGUACUUCCUGUUCUGCUUAGUACUCCUGCUUCUUUCUACAAACAACUGUGAUUCUCUACCUGGGAGCUUCCUCUGGCCACAGGAGCCUGCUCACCUGAUUGGGACACCCUAGCAGUACUGGCUCAUAGAUGGAAGGGACUUGCCUUGUCGCUGAUGAGACUUUCGACUUGGACUUUUGAGUCAAUGCUGGAAUGAGUUAAGACUUUGGGGAACUGUUGGAAGGGUGUGAUUGUGUUUUGAAUUGUGAGGACAUGAGAUUUUGAAGAGGCUAAUGGCAGCGUCCCCACCUAAAUCUCUUCUUGAAUUGUAGUUCCCAUAAUCCCCACGUGUCGUGGGGUGGAGCCGGUGGAGAUAAUUGAAUCAUGGGAACACUUUCCCCCAUGCUGUUAUUGUGAUUGUGAAUUCUCACGAGAUCUGAUGGUUGUAUAAACGCCUUCCCUCUUCGCUGGGCACUCAUUUUUCUCCUUCCUGCCACCAUGUGAAGAAGGAUAUGCUUGCUUCUUGUGCCAUGAUUGUAAGUUUCCUGAGGCCUCCCCAGCCAUGCUGAACUGUGAGUCAAUUGAACCUCUUUCCUUUAUAAAUUACCUAGUCUUGGAUAUGUUUUUAUUAGCAGUGUGAGACAGGACUAAUACACAAAGGAUUUGAAAUCACAAAGGAGCUGUUUUCUGCUCCACCAUGGAAGUCUCACAUGCAUCACAUCUAUUCAUAUCCAUUUGCCACAACUAGACAAAAAGUCCUUUUUAAAAUCUGCCUAGAGAUCAGGAAGUAUUAUCUCUGGAUGCCUAGGCAGGAGAGGUGAAUCAGAUAUUGGUGGGCACUAGUGUGUUCUAUGAUACAUAGCUUAAUAAAAAUAAGUUUCAGAUAAAUCUAAAUAUACAUUAGAAUACUGUAACCACAGUAGAAAAAAAUAUUGGCUCCUUUUUGUGAUAAACUAAUGAUGGUAAAUGCACCCUAUUUAAGCAAGAAAAGAAACUGAUCUGCCAUAAAGAAAACAAUGACAUAUUUAACUACAAAAUAUGUUACAAAAUAUUAAUAUCCCUAAUGGACAAAUGAGUUCCAAUAAAUGGAUAACAAAAAACCAAUAAGUCUGUAGAAAAAUGGAGAAAAUAUAUUUGCAGAAUAUUUAUACAGGUGGUAAUGAAAUUGACAAUGAUGUUUAUCAUCAGCAGUAAACAGUAAAAAGUUUCACCCACCAGGACUAUAGAAAUUUUUCAAAUGGAUAAUUUUCAGAAUCAGCAAAGUUAUAGAAAAGUAGGUACCAGUUGCACAUACCAUUGGAGGAAAUGUAAAAUAUAGUUACCUUGUGGAAAGUAAUCUGAUGUAAUAUAUUAAAAUUUUAUCCAUGUAUGUCCUAUAAUUCAGCAAUUCCAUGUUGGGGAAUCCAUACAAAGAAAUACUUAUACACAUGCAGAAGGAGCUAAGUUUAAGAAAGCACACAUUUCAGCGGGUUGUGGUGUCUCACCCCUGUAAUCCCAGCACAUUGGGAGGCCGAGGUUGGUGGAUCACCUGAGGUCAGGAGUUUGAGACCAGCCUGGCCAACAUGGUGAAACCCUGUCUCUACUAAAAAUACAAAAAAUUAGCUGGUGUGGCAGUGGGUGCCUGCAGCUACUCAGGAGGCUGAGGCAGGAGAAUCGCUUGA